GGCUCUAUAGUGUAGUGGUUAGUACGUCUGCUUUACAUGCAGAAGGUCCUGAGUUCAGCACCCCAGGUGGAGCCA
Molecule: transfer RNA, 75 nt
Filed under: Pteropus alecto (black flying fox)
Lineage: Eukaryota; Metazoa; Chordata; Mammalia; Chiroptera; Pteropodidae
Rfam family: tRNA
About the family: Transfer RNA (tRNA) molecules are approximately 80 nucleotides in length. Their secondary structure includes four short double-helical elements and three loops (D, anti-codon, and T loops).
Source: Rfam by way of RNAcentral